GAGGGUAUAGCUCAGUGGUAGAGUGGCUGCUUAGCAGGCACAAGGUCCUGGGUUCAAUCCCCAGUACCUCCA
This is a transfer RNA of Camelus ferus (Wild Bactrian camel), 72 nucleotides long. It matches the Rfam family "tRNA". Rfam says of the family: Transfer RNA (tRNA) molecules are approximately 80 nucleotides in length. Their secondary structure includes four short double-helical elements and three loops (D, anti-codon, and T loops). NCBI's taxonomy places the organism in Eukaryota, Metazoa, Chordata, Mammalia, Artiodactyla, Camelidae. The record is from Rfam.